Molecule: ribosomal RNA, 540 nt
Filed under: uncultured bacterium
Lineage: Bacteria
Description: bacterial SSU rRNA
Rfam family: Bacterial small subunit ribosomal RNA
Source: RNAcentral
AGAGUUUGAUCCUGGCUCAGAACGAACGCUGGCGGCGUGCCUAACACAUGCAAGUCGAACGGAGAUAAGGGGCUUGCUCCUUAUUUUAGUGGCGCACGGGUGAGUAACGCGUGGAUAAUCUACCUUGGAAUCUGGGAUAACAUCUCGAAAGGGGUGCUAAUACCGGAUAAGACCACGAGCUCUUCGGAGUUUGCGGUAAAAGGGGGCCUCUGUAUAUGCUUCUGUUUCAAGAUGAGUCCGCGUACCAUUAGCUAGUUGGCAGGGUAAUGGCCUACCAAGGCGACGAUGGUUAGCUGGUCUGAGAGGAUGAUCAGCCACACUGGAACUGAGACACGGUCCAGACUCCUACGGGAGGCAGCAGUGGGGAAUUUUGCGCAAUGGGGGAAACCCUGACGCAGCAACGCCGCGUGAGUGAUGAAGGCCUUCGGGUCGUAAAGCUCUGUCAGAGGGAAAGAAGUGUGGGAGGGUUAAUACCCCUUUCACUCGACGGUACCCUCAAAGGAAGCACCGGCUAACUCCGUGCCAGCAGCCGCGGUAAUA